This 497-nucleotide ribosomal RNA is filed under the name uncultured bacterium. RNAcentral describes it as "partial 16S ribosomal RNA". It matches the Rfam family "Bacterial small subunit ribosomal RNA", at positions 28 to 507 of the family's 1533-position model. The record is from RNAcentral.
GAUGAACGCUGGAGGCGUGCCUAAUACAUGCAAGUCGAGCGAACGGACGAGAAGCUUGCUUCUCUGAUGUUAGCGGCGGACGGGUGAGUAACACGUGGAUAACCUACCUAUAAGACUGGGAUAACUUCGGGAAACCGGAGCUAAUACCGGAUAAUAUUUUGAACCGCAUGGUUCAAAAGUGAAAGACGGUCUUGCUGUCACUUAUAGAUGGAUCCGCGCUGCAUUAGCUAGUUGGUAAGGUAACGGCUUACCAAGGCAACGAUGCAUAGCCGACCUGAGAGGGGGAUCGGCCACACUGGAACUGAGACACGGUCCAGACUCCUACGGGAGGCAGCAGUAGGGAAUCUUCCGCAAUGGGCGAAAGCCUGACGGAGCAACGCCGCGUGAGUGAUGAAGGUCUUCGGAUCGUAAAACUCUGUUAUUAGGGAAGAACAUAUGUGUAAUUAACUGUGCACAUCUUGACGGUACCUAAUCAGAAAGCCACGGCUAACUACGUG